This 1484-nucleotide long non-coding RNA is filed under the name Macaca fascicularis (crab-eating macaque). Its description in RNAcentral is "lncRNA (ENSMFAG00000049364.1)". The record is from RNAcentral. Lineage: Eukaryota; Metazoa; Chordata; Mammalia; Primates; Cercopithecidae.
GCUGAGACUGGGUGGAGGGAGAGGCACGGAGACACUGGGGCUCUGAUGAGCUGGCUAAGGCCCUCUCAGUAGGGGGGUCACGCCUCCUGGAACUCAGGGACCCCAAGUUUCUGUGCAUUCAGGGCAGGGCUGGCCUCAUGCCCUGUGCAUAGAGGCCUGGCUGCAUCCCAGUCGAUCAGCCAGAGGCAGCAGCAGUGGACUCAUCAAUUGUGGAGGAAGCCCUGGGGACCCUGGGGACCUUGCCGACUCUAUUCCCAGUCUGCUCCUAGGACAAGCCUCAAAGCCAACACCUGCUCGACCCUCUCCAGGCCCCUCCCCUUCUUUGUCUUUUGCAGAUGAUCGCCGGGUGUCCUCCUUUUCCCCCUAGUCAGGUCCUGCCCCAGUGACCAGGCACUUCCUUCCAUCUGGAGAGUGAGCAGGACCUCCCUCUCUGGUGCCCAGGGAGGCUGGUGGGCUCUUAGAGCCUCUCUAGGUUCCAGGCACCAGCUAAGCACUGGAGCGGGAGGAAGCAGGGCGGAUAGCUGAAGGAAUGUGGCUGAUUCAACUCUCCAAUCAAGGCUGCGUGGUCAGGAAGGGAACUUGAAUAGCUAAGGCCAUUCUGCAGGACUCCAGCCCUCCACCUGCAGGGCAGCAGUGCCACGUGAUCACAUACAGAUCCUGGUUCUGACUGCUGGCAACUGUGUCAUGCCAUCUCCCAUCAAGUCCACAUGAGGACACUCAGAUUCAAGGACGUAAGUGACUUGUGCAUAGUCACACAGCUAGGAGGUGGCUGCACCAGGAUUCAGAUCCAGCCUGCCUGAUGCUGACCACAUGGUCUGUGGGGUGCUGCAGAAAGAAAACUGCAUAAAGAAGGUGAUCCUGGCCUCGGGGAGUUCCUGGUGUGCGCCUCCAGCCAGCGUGGUUCCCUGCAGAGGGCACUCCGGUACAGAGUAUUUCUAGGGAGGGCUAAGGAGCAGCUAAUCACUAAACAACUCCUCUUUCCUCCUAUCCCCCCAAAAUGUUCCCUACACUUGGAAUUCCACCAGACCUUGAAACCCUUCCCACAGUUACUGCAUCCAUGAAUCUGCCUGGUUUAUUGGGAAGGAACUGUCCCCCACAACACCCCCAAUUUCCCCUUAAGGUACCGCAGUUUGGUGAAGACAGGAUCCUGCUGAAUGCCUACCAGACAACAGAGACUGAGUAAAACUGUGCAUUUCAUUGUAUGUAAAUUAGACCUUAACAAAUCCAAGACUUACUGAGCCUGCCAAGGUGGUGCAUGCCUGUAAUCCCUGCUACUCAGGAGGCUGAGACAAGAAGAUGACUUGACCUCAGGAGUUCAAAUCCAGCUUGGGCAAUAUCGCAAGACCCCAUCUUUUAAAAAAAAAAAACAAAACAAAAAACAAAACCCAAAAUGUACUGAGUGACUUUUUCUGGGGCCGAGCAUCCCCAAGUUUGAUUGAUGCAUCAAUAUCUAUAAUAAAGACUCCACAGCACCAAAGGCCUAA